GAUGAACGCUGACAGAAUGCUUAACACAUGCAGUCACUGAUUGUGGCGGACGGGUGAGUAACGCGUAAAGAACUUGCCUCACAGGUAGGGACAACAUUUGGAAACGAAUGCUAAUACCUAAUACUGUGAGAGAGCUUUGCGUCCCAUUAGCUAGUUGGAGAGGUAACGGCUCACCAAGGCGAUGAUGGGUAGCCGGCCUGAGAGGGUGAUCGGCCAAAUGUGGACUGGGAACCGGCCCGUGCUCCUACGGGGGGCAGCAGGGUGGACUAUCUGACAAUGGACCAAAGUCUGAUCCAGCAAUUCUGUGUGCACGAUGAAGUUUUCGGAAUGUAAAGUGCCUUCAGUUGGGAAGCGGUACCAACAGAAGAAGUGACGGCUAACUACGUGCCAGCAGCCGCGGUAAUAC
This 406-nucleotide ribosomal RNA is filed under the name uncultured bacterium. RNAcentral describes it as "partial 16S ribosomal RNA". It matches the Rfam family "Bacterial small subunit ribosomal RNA", at positions 28 to 526 of the family's 1533-position model. The record is from RNAcentral.